This 854-nucleotide ribosomal RNA is filed under the name uncultured bacterium. RNAcentral describes it as "bacterial SSU rRNA". It matches the Rfam family "Bacterial small subunit ribosomal RNA", at positions 8 to 853 of the family's 1533-position model. The record is from RNAcentral.
AGAGUUUGAUCAUGGCUCAGAUUGAACGCUGGCGGCAGGCUUAACACAUGCAAGUCGAACGGUAACAGGAGAAAGCUUGCUUUCUUGCUGACGAGUGGCGGACGGGUGAGUAAUGCUUGGGAAUCUGGCUUAUGGAGGGGGAUAACUACGGGAAACUGUAGCUAAUACCGCGUAAUAUCUUCGGAUUAAAGGGUGGGACUUUCGGGCCACCUGCCAUAAGAUGAGCCCAAGUGGGAUUAGGUAGUUGGUGGGGUAAAGGCCUACCAAGCCGACGAUCUCUAGCUGGUCUGAGAGGAUGACCAGCCACACUGGAACUGAGACACGGUCCAGACUCCUACGGGAGGCAGCAGUGGGGAAUAUUGCACAAUGGGGGGAACCCUGAUGCAGCCAUGCCGCGUGAAUGAAGAAGGCCUUCGGGUUGUAAAGUUCUUUCGGUGAUGAGGAAGGCGGUUGUUUUAAUAGAACAAUCGAUUGACGUUAGUCACAGAAGAAGCACCGGCUAACUCCGUGCCAGCAGCCGCGGUAAUACGGAGGGUGCGAGCGUUAAUCGGAAUGACUGGGCGUAAAGGGCACGCAGGCGGUGACUUAAGUGAGAUGUGAAAGCCCCGGGCUUAACCUGGGAAUUGCAUUUCAUACUGGGUCGCUAGAGUAUUUUAGGGAGGGGUAGAAUUCCACGUGUAGCGGUGAAAUGCGUAGAGAUGUGGAGGAAUACCGAAGGCGAAGGCAGCCCCUUGGGAAUAUACUGACGCUCAUGUGCGAAAGCGUGGGGAGCAAACAGGAUUAGAUACCCUGGUAGUCCACGCUGUAAACGCUGUCGAUUUGGGGAUUGGGCUUUAAGCUUGGUGCCCGUAGCU